Molecule: non-coding RNA, 1320 nt
Organism: Drosophila melanogaster (fruit fly)
Lineage: Eukaryota; Metazoa; Arthropoda; Insecta; Diptera; Drosophilidae
Source: Ensembl
ACAUACUAAAGUAGAUUAUCAAAGCAUGGAAGUUAACAUUUAAUUUUAUAGACACAUUUGUCCCAUCAAAGAAUUUAGAAAAACAGCAGGUCAGGAACAUGCUUUUCGAAUUCCCGAAGUAAUCGGCGACUUAGUACAUAUAUUUUAAAAUACAAAUUUCGAUGCAUGAGGAUGAGGAUGUGAGGAGGAAACGGAACGUAAUGGUGAUGGGGUCAGGGGGGAGGGCGCCGGCUACUGACCGCCAGAUGACAGGCGAAAAUACUAAGAGGAGAGUGGCAGCGGAAGCGAGAGAGAGCGAAAGAUGAGCGGAGAAAAAUGGCAGGUAAACGAAAACAGAGCUGAAAAGUGCACAAGUAAAAUAGAAAACAAAAAUAAACAACAACAAUCCAGGAGACAAAUCGACGGUAGCAAGUCUUCUUGUUUGCCAUUUAUUUUCUCUUGAAGUGUGUAAAAACGCAGCAGCAGCAAUAUGAAAAGCCUCUCCGAAGGUUAGGAGUGCAUUAGGUCACUGAAGCGAUGCGAUGUCUGUGAUGUAAGCCGUGCUCCUCCUUUGGCUCUCUCUCAUUUUUGAUAACAACAUGCAAGAGGUUAUCAGAAACGGCACAAACCACAGCAACAACAACUAAAGAGGGCGGCCGCGUGGUUGUAAUUUAAUACACAUGCAGAAGGCACGCACACUUACACACGUGGAGCCGCCAACAAGCGGCGCUUAUAACCACAAAAUGGCCACGGGAUAUAUUUGCAAAACAUUUAAAAAAUUGCAAAUGCGGAGAACAAAAAAUCGCAACAAAAGCAAAGGCAAAUGCGGUUGAAGCUAAUUUGCGAAUUCAACGGGCGGGGUGCGGAAUUGUGGGCGGAGCAGCACCGCAUGGCGAUUUGGCUGGGAUCGGGGAUCUUUUUCGCCAUAUUGCGACUCUCACCUUCUCUCGUUUUAGCCUGGCUGCGGUUUUCCAGAACCGGGAAGUCCGUCGGCAAGGCCGUGGAAUACCGUGACAAGCAGCGCAAGACUUUGUCUUAAGACGAAAUUCGCGAUCCGUUGUUUGCGGUCCCCCGUUUUCCUUCCUCACGCACACACUCAAAAUUUCUUCGGCUGCUGCAGCUUCUUUUCCGCGUAUCCAGGGCUGCUCGACACAGCUGGCGAUGAAAUCCCUGUGAUUUUCACGGCUGCGUUAUUAUGGCCGCUUCCAGGGACUUUCCUUUUGGAUUUCCUGCAGUUUUUUCGCGAAUUAAAGCCGAAAGAUGACUUAUUGACGAGCGGAUGACCAUAUUUCGGAUUUGGGAAAAAUCCAGCUGUGCUGCAAACGAAAAAUACCAGCUGUG